Molecule: ribosomal RNA, 1372 nt
Filed under: uncultured bacterium
Lineage: Bacteria
Description: bacterial SSU rRNA
Rfam family: Bacterial small subunit ribosomal RNA
Source: RNAcentral
GAUGAGCGCUGGCGGCGUGCCUAAUACAUGCAAGUCGAGCGAACGGACGAGAGGCUUGCUUCUCUGAUGUUAGCGGCGGACGGGUGAGUAACACGUGGAUAACCUACCUAUAAGACUGGGAUAACUUCGGGAAACCGGAGCUAAUACCGGAUAAUAUUUUGAACCGCAUGGUUCAAAAGUGAAAGACGGUCUUGCUGUCACUUAUAGAUGGAUCCGCGCUGCAUUAGCUAGUUGGUAAGGUAACGGCUUACCAAGGCAACGAUGCAUAGCCGACCUGAGAGGGUGAUCGGCCACACUGGAACUGAGACACGGUCCAGACUCCUACGGGAGGCAGCAGUAGGGAAUCUUCCGCAAUGGGCGAAAGCCUGACGGAGCAACGCCGCGUGAGUGAUGAAGGUCUUCGGAUCGUAAAACUCUGUUAUUAGGGAAGAACAUAUGUGUAAGUAACUGUGCACAUCUUGACGGUACCUAAUCAGAAAGCCACGGCUAACUACGUGCCAGCAGCCGCGGUAAUACGUAGGUGGCAAGCGUUAUCCGGAAUUAUUGGGCGUAAAGCGCGCGUAGGCGGUUUUUUAAGUCUGAUGUGAAAGCCCACGGCUCAACCGUGGAGGGUCAUUGGAAACUGGAAAACUUGAGUGCAGAAGAGGAAAGUGGAAUUCCAUGUGUAGCGGUGAAAUGCGCAGAGAUAUGGAGGAACACCAGUGGCGAAGGCGACUUUCUGGUCUGUAACUGACGCUGAUGUGCGAAAGCGUGGGGAUCAAACAGGAUUAGAUACCCUGGUAGUCCACGCCGUAAACGAUGAGUGCUAAGUGUUAGGGGGUUUCCGCCCCUUAGUGCUGCAGCUAACGCAUUAAGCACUCCGCCUGGGGAGUACGACCGCAAGGUUGAAACUCAAAGGAAUUGACGGGGACCCGCACAAGCGGUGGAGCAUGUGGUUUAAUUCGAAGCAACGCGAAGAACCUUACCAAAUCUUGACAUCCUUUGACAACUCUAGAGAUAGAGCUUUCCCCUUCGGGGGACAAAGUGACAGGUGGUGCAUGGUUGUCGUCAGCUCGUGUCGUGAGAUGUUGGGUUAAGUCCCGCAACGAGCGCAACCCUUAAGCUUAGUUGCCAUCAUUAAGUUGGGCACUCUAAGUUGACUGCCGGUGACAAACCGGAGGAAGGUGGGGAUGACGUCAAAUCAUCAUGCCCCUUAUGAUUUGGGCUACACACGUGCUACAAUGGACAAUACAAAGGGCAGCGAAACCGCGAGGUCAAGCAAAUCCCAUAAAGUUGUUCUCAGUUCGGAUUGUAGUCUGCAACUCGACUACAUGAAGCUGGAAUCGCUAGUAAUCGUAGAUCAGCAUGCUACGGUGAAUACGUUCCCGGGUCU